AUCCAGUUUACGAGUCUCGAAUAGAACGAAACGCGCGUCCUAGAU
This 45-nucleotide non-coding RNA is filed under the name Schistosoma mattheei. The record is from RNAcentral. Lineage: Eukaryota; Metazoa; Platyhelminthes; Trematoda; Strigeidida; Schistosomatidae.